UGGCGACCGGCGCACGGGUGAGUAACACGUAUCCAACCCGCCGAUGACUCGGGGAUAGCCUUUCGAAAGAAAGAUUAAUACCCGAUGGCAUAGUUCUUCCGCAUGGUAGAACUAUUAAAGAAUUUCGGUCAUCGAUGGGGAUGCGUUCCAUUAGGUUGUUGGUGAGGUAACGGCUCACCAAGCCUUCGAUGGAUAGGGGUUCUGAGAGGAAGGUCCCCCACAUUGGAACUGAGACACGGUCCAA
Molecule: ribosomal RNA, 244 nt
Filed under: uncultured bacterium
Lineage: Bacteria
Description: partial 16S ribosomal RNA
Rfam family: Bacterial small subunit ribosomal RNA
Source: RNAcentral